RNAcentral lists this long non-coding RNA (4224 nucleotides) under Fragaria vesca (wild strawberry). RNAcentral describes it as "long non-coding RNA (FVES_LNC005592)". The record is from RNAcentral. Lineage: Eukaryota; Viridiplantae; Streptophyta; Magnoliopsida; Rosales; Rosaceae.
UUUGGGGGUGAAAGGCCCAAACCAUUUCUCUUCUCUUUUCCUUCUCUCCUUCUCCCCGAUUCUCUCUCUCUUCUCCCUCAUCUCCCUCGGUCGCUGCCUUCUCCAACGCAGCACCGCCGUCUCCGGCCAUCCCUAGCGACGAAACCGCCACCGAAGUCGUCCCCUCCUUUUCCUCAGCAUAACCCAGUCCUUGAAGCCGGAAGGCAUCCACUCUCGACGGAGAUCGAAGGAGGUGGACGGCGACUAUGUUUUGCUAUUUCUGGCGAGCUCCGACAGGGACGACGGCAUUGAAGAGUAUAUUCUUGUUCUCCUCACUUCCCUCUUCCUUUCUAUGUCCUUGGUUGUACGAAUCGAACCCUAAUCUGGAAACCCCUUUCUUCUCUUUUCUGGGUUCGAACUCCUAGCUCCGGCGACCGACGUUCGAGGGUUUCCGGCAUGUGCUUCGGGCUUUGCUGGAGUUGAUGAGGCUUCAUUGUACCUCUUGUCUCCUCCCGACGACCUGCUAAGCAUCAAGAGGCCAAGACGAUCAGUUAGGGAGACUUGAGGUGUUGCUGCUGCUAUGUGGGAGGAGCCACGAACCCGAAAUCCGGCAAGAGAGCCACCGCCGGCAAGAGAAGCUUUGUUGUCGUCUGAAGGUAAUCUUCUUGCUCUUAGAGUUGUUAUGUUGCUGUUGUGUGGGUUUGGAAGAAGCUAAUUGUUGUUUUGGUUGUUUUAUGACGAUAACUUGGUGUUCUAGAGAUUGCGGGGAGAUCAUGGUGAAAUUCCGGCAAGUGGUCGGAAUCCGGCAGAAUAUUCCGGCAAGUCGCCGGAAUCCGACGAAGCAGCAGAUCCGGCUAAGAGUCGUUAAGGUAGUUUUGAGUCUAAUAAAUGUUAUUGAUGCCUUAAGAGGAAUUGAUGUUGGAGUUUAAAAUUGUGGUCUUGAAAGUCUAGGCAUAAUGUGAAGUUGGAUGGUAGGGAAAGAGUGAAGUUGUUGGUAUUUGCAGCUUGUUUAAAAGCAUUUAAGUAGAGAAUGAGGUUAACUCUAGUUGGAUUUUGAAAUGAGCUAAAUAAUACUAUGGGUGUCCAUAGUGAGUUUUGCGUUUAUUUUAUUACUUGGCGGAAUGGUGAAAUAUUUUGGAUGUUACGCUAUAGGCUUGGAAAUUCAAUGAGAACUUGAUUCCAAGUUGAGGUUACGGAGCUUGAGCAAAAUGAGUUCUGGAUGUGAAAUUGGUUAAAAAUAAUAUUUAAAUCAUUUGGUCAAUCCUGGUCAACCUAGGGAAACCUAGUCAAAUUAGGAAGAAGUCCAAUCAAUGAUUAUUUUGGAGUCCGGUCUGACCAAUUUAUUCUUCUGUUUAUCGUCAGUCGUGGGAUUGGCUAGAGAGUGUGAUUAGUUGGAGGCAGCGCUUGAGGAGUAUUCCGAGCAUUGGAAGGCUUAGGCCUAAUACUGUGAGUGGACCUUUGUUUUAAUUGAAAAGCAUGCGAUGAAAUAAUUUGUUGAUUAUUUAUUUUCUUCUGAUGAGACUUUCUGAUUUCUCGGAUAUUUGGCAAUUUUUUCUCCUUUGGAGAGUUUCCGGAAAUGAGAUUUUCGGUUGAUAUAUUUGUUGGAUGUUUAUGUGAGUAUAGUAUGUAUAUAUAAAUGCUAGCUAGCCAUACGUGUUUGAUCUGUCAUAAUGAGGUGAAAUACCAUUAUGACGUGACGUGAGUGUUAGACACAAGCGUAGUAGCCAUAUAUGAAAGCUAUUUUCUUAUUUGGUUUAUUUAGGUUUUCAUAUAGGGAGUCCACACGUAUAUACACUCGUGCUUUUUUCCGCCAUACUGAGGUACAAUUCCAUUAUGGUGUGACGUGAGCGUUAGACGCAAGCGUAGUAGCCUUGUAUGAAUUUCUAUUUUUCUAAUUUGUUCUUAGAAUUCAUACAAGGAGUCUGACGAGUGUAAAUACAUACACUUAUAUAUGUUUAUAUAUAGUUUAGCCUGAGAGGCUGUAUUUCUUUGAGUUAUGGAGACUAGCCGGAGCUAAUCAUGAAAUUGCCAGUUUUUGUGUUGAGCGCUUUUGAGCUGCCGCAUGCAGUAUAUUUUCCUUGGAAAUUAAAAUGGGGAAGCAUAAAUAUUUUCUUAAAUUUAUUUUUGUCCACUCACUCUAACGGUUUCAAAUGUUUUUCCCCUGGGCCCUUUGUUUUAAAAUUGCCCAGUCUGCAGGAUUGUAUAGUUGAGGUCGAGCGUACAUGGAGAAGAUGCAUAGUCAAUAGUAUAGCUUCCGCUCAUUUCUAUUUAUUUCUAGUUUCCUCUCCUCUCAAGUAGAGUUGUUCUGAAUAUGUGGUUGUUGGUUAUAGGAUCUUUGUUAGAUUAGUGAAUCUAUAUUGAGAGAUGUUGUGAUUUGUGGGGAGCACGAAGGCUCCAGGAGUUUAUAAGAUUGGAGUUGGAACUUUUAGAAGUGUUUGCAGGUGUUUUAUUUAGGAAGGGUUGUCCAUUUUCAAGGGAGGUUAUGCCGAAUUUUCGGUAAAUUUUCCUUGGAGGUGGUCCCCACAGGAUUUACUUCGAGUUUCAAGGUGAAAUUCGAGGUGGGUCCUGAUAGUCGGACUCCGGUCACCGGCCGCCAGACUCCGGUCACCGGAAUUUCCCCUGUAACGAGUUACUAAUCCCCUGUAACCAGUUACUAACCAAUUAAUGACUCUAAAUAACCAGUUACUGACCCCCCGUAACCAGUUACUGACACCCAAUAACCAGUUACUAACCCCCAAUGACCAGUUAUUGAUACCCAGUAACCAGUUACUGAUCCCCAGUAACUAGUUACUGACCCUUAAUAAUCAUGUUACUAACCUCUAAUAAUCAGUUACUGAUCCUCAAUAAUCAACUUAUUUCAGCUUCUUGUAAUAGAAAAGAAAAAAUACCGGAACAUAAUCCAAUUAUUGACCUCAAUAAUAGUUACUAACCCUCAAUAAAAUGUUGAAACAUUACUGUGAGGCCCAUAAGGGCAUCCAAACCUCCAGCCUGUUGUCAAGGACCCAAGCCCAAACCAAAAAAUUGCUCUGGGCACCCAAAGCAGGCGCCCAAACACUUCCCGACCGGCGUUGGCGUCGACUCCGGCGUCCAACCUUAUGCCACAACUCAGAACUAGUCUUCCUCACUGGCCUUUAGAGUGAUGCGUCUCUGCAAGCCCUCCUUCCAGGUGGAGUCCCUCCCCCUCCUCCUCGACCCCGCUGAUCUCCUCGUAGGCGAAGACAUCUUUAAUGACCCCCUCGCCACCGCUCAGGUCCCCCGCCUCCUCGACAGCCACGUGUCCUCCUCCACCGACUCCUCCUCCUCCGAUCCUAGCUACCGCUCCAGAUUGCUCUUCCGCCUGAUGAAGACGAGUUCGGCGACAGGCAAGACUUGUAGAAGCGGAUAAAGUCGUUGAACGGCAGGUAGUUCGGGACGGCGACGACGGAGAGGAGAGAGGACUCGGUGUCGUGGCUCCGCAGCGACGACGAGCUUCCUCUUCUUCUUCGAAACAGAUGCGCGAUUCCUCGCCGUUCGCUGAACCUAAAGUUUGAUUGUGCGGCAGCAGAGAUGGUGGUGAACUUGGCGUCUUCGAGGUUGACAGGGUGGUUGGUGUCCACUGAGUGGAUUCGGAGGAAGAACAUUGUGACUCACUGAGUCAACUCCGUCGGAGAAGAGAGAGAGAGAGAGAGAGAGAGAGAGAGAGAGAGAGAGAGAGAGAGAGAGAGAGAGAGAGAGAGAGAGAGAGAGUAGAGAGAGAGAGAGAGAGAGUAGANNNNNNNNNNNNNNNNNNNNGAGAGAGAGAGAGAUCUGAAAGAUGAGAGAGUAUGAGAAUGAGAGAGGACGGGAGAGAGUGAGGGUGAGAGUGUUUAUAAGUUUAUGGGCAAAAUAAUCUUUUUAUUAGGUUUCAUUAGAAUGGGCUAUAGAAAACUUUUUCAUUGAAUUGAGAUUUACUUUAAAUAAAUUUGUGCAUUAGGGCAUUUUCUCUUUAAAAUAUCCAAAAAAGCUAAAUAGCUAAUGAGCCAAAAUAGAAAGUCUAAUAAAGAUGUUCUUAGAUCUCAUAGCAUUAACAAUUGAGAAGUAGAGGUUUUAAGAUGUGACGUGGCCCAUACGUUCUAAUAGUGUAAUUAUUAAGAUGGGUAUACUUUUAACCCAUCAUUUGGGGUAACCUAACGCUCAAAAUUUUGAUAUGAACUCGGCAUAUUGAGAAUCUCAAAAUCAAGCCCAAUAGAGAACUUUUUGCAUUUUGUCAAUGUAUCAACUUUUUGU